This 253-nucleotide ribosomal RNA is filed under the name uncultured bacterium. RNAcentral describes it as "partial 16S ribosomal RNA". It matches the Rfam family "Bacterial small subunit ribosomal RNA", at positions 524 to 776 of the family's 1533-position model. The record is from RNAcentral.
UACGUAGGGUGCGAGCGUUAAUCGGAAUUACUGGGCGUAAAGUGUGCUCAGGCGGCCGAGCAAGUCGAGUGUGAAAGCCCCGGGCUUAACUUGGGAAUUGCGCUCGAAACUACUUGGCUGGAGUGUGGCAGAGGAAGGUGGAAUUCCAGGUGUAGCGGUGAAAUGCGUAGAGAUCUGGAGGAACACCGAUGGCGAAGGCAGCCUUCUGGGCCAACACUGACGCUCAUGCACGAAAGCUAGGGGAGCAAACAGG